Molecule: ribosomal RNA, 433 nt
Filed under: uncultured bacterium
Lineage: Bacteria
Description: partial 16S ribosomal RNA
Rfam family: Bacterial small subunit ribosomal RNA
Source: RNAcentral
AACGAACGCUGGCGGCAUGCCUAAUACAUGCAAGUCGAACGAACUCUUCGGAACUAGUGUCGUACGAGUGUGUAACGCGUGGGAAUCUGCACUUGGGUUCGGACUAACUUCUGGAAACGGAAGCCAAUACCGGACGAUGACGUAAGUCCAAUGAUUUAUCGACCAAGGAUGAACACGAGUAGGAUUAGCUAUUUGGUUGGGUAAAGGGCCACCAAGGCGACGAUCCUUAGCUGGUCUGAGAGGAUGAUCAGCCACACUGGGACUGAGAAGCGGCCCAGACUCCUACGGGAUGCGGGAGUAGGGAAUAGUGGACAACGGGCGGAAUCAUGAUGCAGCAAUGCCGCGUGAAUGAUGAAGGCCGUAAAGAUGAAAAGCGCUUGUACCUAUGAUGAUAAUGACGGUACCUAAAGAGUAAGCUCCGGCUAACUCCGUG